CGGAACAACAACAGUGGCAGCGGCCAGCUGUACAGCCCUGGAGUCAGCUCCCGCAGUAACUAUGGCAGCUCUCAGUCCCCAGGGGCCUGGAUGUUCCAGGGCGAG
Molecule: microRNA precursor, 105 nt
Filed under: Canis lupus familiaris (dog)
Lineage: Eukaryota; Metazoa; Chordata; Mammalia; Carnivora; Canidae
Also listed under: 1 other name
Description: mir-8834 microRNA precursor family
Rfam family: mir-8834 microRNA precursor family
Source: Rfam by way of RNAcentral